Molecule: ribosomal RNA, 253 nt
Filed under: uncultured bacterium
Lineage: Bacteria
Description: partial 16S ribosomal RNA
Rfam family: Bacterial small subunit ribosomal RNA
Source: RNAcentral
UACGGAGGGUGCGAGCGUUGUUCGGAAUCACUGGGCGUAAAGCGCGUGUAGGCGGCUCGAUAAGUCUGGUGUGAAAGCCCGGGGCUCACCCCCGGAAGUGCACUGGAUACUGUCGAGCUCGAGUUCCGGAGAGGAAAGUGGAAUUCCUGGUGUAGCGGUGAAAUGCGUAGAUAUCAGGAGAAACACCGGUGGCGAAGGCGGCUUUCUGGACGGUAACUGACGCUGAGACGCGAAAGCGUGGGGAGCAAACAGG